Molecule: ribosomal RNA, 465 nt
Filed under: Vreelandella stevensii
Lineage: Bacteria; Pseudomonadati; Pseudomonadota; Gammaproteobacteria; Oceanospirillales; Halomonadaceae
Description: partial 16S ribosomal RNA
Rfam family: Bacterial small subunit ribosomal RNA
Source: RNAcentral
CCUACGGGGGGCAGCAGUGGGGAAUAUUGGACAACGGGGGGAACCCUGAUCCAGCCAUGCCGCGUGUGUGAAGAAGGCCCUCGGGUUGUAAAGCACUUUCAGUGAGGAAGAACGCCUGGUGGUUAAUACCCAUCAGGAAAGACAUCACUCACAGAAGAAGCACCGGCUAACUCCGUGCCAGCAGCCGCGGUAAUACGGAGGGUGCGAGCGUUAAUCGGAAUUACUGGGCGUAAAGCGCGCGUAGGUGGCUUGAUAAGCCGGUUGUGAAAGCCCCGGGCUCAACCUGGGAACGGCAUCCGGAACUGUCAAGCUAGAGUGCAGGAGAGGAAGGUAGAAUUCCCGGUGUAGCGGUGAAAUGCGUAGAGAUCGGGAGGAAUACCAGUGGCGAAGGCGGCCUUCUGGACUGACACUGACACUGAGGUGCGAAAGCGUGGGUAGCAAACAGGAUUAGAUACCCGAGUAGUC